UCCUUUCAAGAAGCAAGAGGCCCCCUUUAUGUCAGAAGAAAAUCUCCAACUUCCAAUCUUCAAUGCUCAUUUGUCCUUCUUCCAUUAUUCAUACCCAUAAAGUGGCUUAUGUCAGAGAGUUAGUUAGUACUAGGAUUCAACACAGGAUAAAAAUUCACAUACUCAAACCCUAUCUUGUUUUCUUUCUCUUCUUCUAGCCAUGACUUCAAUCUACCAAAUUAACUCUGCUACAAGAAUCAGGUUUGCUCGUAGAUUUCUCAUUUCCCUUUCCAGGAUGAGAAGAGCUAGUACACUUGGUCCUCCUUCUGACGAGGAAAUUCGCACAAGAACGCGUAGGAUAAGGAUUGUUUCUUAUUCUUCGAUGGCUUUUGCUGUUGGGUCCAGCAGGGCUUGGAGCCGAGCACUUGUUUUGAAGAUACGAAAUCGAGCGAGGUUCCGUGGAAUUUUGAGAAAUAAAUGCUUGGCUUCCAAGAAAAAAAGGGUUAUCAAAAGACAUAAGGUUUCAAGAGAGAUGAGCAAGACUGAUAUGCUUCGAAGGCUGGUUCCUGGAGGGGCAGGUAUGGGUAUUUGUGGGUUGUUAGAGGAAACUGCACAUUAUAUGACAUGCCUUGCCACUCAGGUUAAGGUGAUGCAA
RNAcentral lists this unclassified non-coding RNA (634 nucleotides) under Hevea brasiliensis (rubber tree). The record is from RNAcentral. Lineage: Eukaryota; Viridiplantae; Streptophyta; Magnoliopsida; Malpighiales; Euphorbiaceae.